CAGGUGAUCAGCAAAGCCGUUGCUUUACCCUAAGAAAUGGAGAGUCUGUGGCUGCCUCUGUCCUUCCGGGACAGAGUCCAUGCAGGCUGAGCGACUGUCUUGGCUGCAGCACCAAGUGGCUAAUCUGUUAUUUCUCCCAUGGUCACCGGUCCCUCAUCGGUCUGCAACCCUCUCCCUCGCUGGGCCAGCUUUCUCUCCUCAGACUCAGGAAACUAACAGGUCGCCUGACACGAGCAAAGUCUAACCGGAAGGGUAGAGAGAGGCGGACAUAAGCACUGACCUCAUCUCCUGGAACUCCAUUAAGGAGGCCAGGAGGUGGUGGCACCUUCUCCAGACACAGAAUCAGAGGGACUGACUUGAAGAUCCGAGCAGCUGGGCCCUACAGCACGGAGGACGGAGAGCCUCUGAGUAGCAGGCCUCUGGAAACGGGCGUUGGGAGCCUCCCCCAAAGUGGGCUUGCUACCCCGUCACCCAGGCCGAGCCCACAGUCAACAAGCCGGGCCCCCGAGCGCCAAGGCCCACAGCUUCCCGUUGGGUGGUAGUGCCUGGAAGGACCCUCAGGAACAGACAGAAGAACCUGGAGGAAGCAGGGAGGCAGGCAGCUGAGUGAAACUGAAGCAAUCGAGCCAACAAGACGACAAGCGGCGACAGGUGUGAAGGUAACAGCCAGGAACAACAAAAGGAGGUAGAGAACAAGAAAUGAUAGGUAAGGACUGAGGGUCCGUCCUGGGGGUCAGCAUAUCUGACAGAAGUUCCAGAAACAGAACCCAGUAAACCCUCCAUUUAACGGACUUCGUAUUUAUUGGACAGAAUUUCUGGUCUGUAUGUCAUAUGUGAAAAUUAACACCCUGUUACUUUUAAAACGCUUUUAACCAAGAGUUGCUUAUAAUUAACAGCUUAUUUUUGGUUAUUAAUUCACUGUUAUUUUUAAACAAAUUUUAGCGAAUAGGCCAUAUGUUAGAAAAGACAUUGUAGUAAUUCUGCCUACAUAAGUAUUACAUAUCCACAACGAUCUGCAUAUUUAAAUUCAGGGCCACCGCUCGUAAACAGCAUUCGGCUAAUUAGCACGUGAUCACACCGAGUCUCAAGUGGUCAUUGGUGCGUGGUAAUGGGUUCUGUCCUCUCGUGGCGUGACCUGCAGCAGUUUUAACGCGUGCGGCCCAUGUUCCCACGUGUGUUGAGCCACGCCCCAGCCGUGUGCAUUUAUUUUCAUGGAGUGACUGGUGAAGGCACGCACUUACUAGACCUAUUCAGUAUAAAUUUAAAAUUUCUGCAAUUCACAUAGAAAACUUUUCUUUGAAAUGAAACUUUUUAGACAUACUUAAUUUUAGUUACACAAAUUUGUCUACAUAAGUAAAAACAGGUAACCUAAUUUGCCAAUUUUUUAAGAUGUGCAUUUGGAAAACUCACUUUAUGAUAUAAUGGACUUCGGACUUUAAUGAGCACCCCCUCACCUGACUUAGUCCGUAAUAUUGAGGUUUUGCUGUAAAUGAAGGAAGUUAUCAAAGAAAUAUCGUAAGAAAAUUUUCAAAACAGAAGGAUGCAAGCAUCCAGCUCGCCAGGGCUCACUGAUGCCCAGUAUGAGGAUGGACCAGAGGCCGCCAGAGACCCUCCCCAAGGAGGGAGCCCAAGGGAGAGGGAGGAGGAGAAGGAGAGAAGGAAGCAAAGCCCCGUUCAGGGAUGUGGAUCAAACUGCCACUGGACUCCUCAGAGCAGCACAGGAGGAUCAACAGCAAAAACCUUAACACCCCGAAUGAACACAAUUUCCAACCGGGAUUCUGUGCCCAGCUACACUAUUCAUCAAGGGUGACUGCAGGAUAGAGAGAUUUCCAGACAGGCCAGAACUACAGAGAGAAGCAUUUUCUGCGCAGCAUUUUUCAAAACGUUACUGGGGGAUGAGCUCCACCAACCAGGACUGAAGACACCGGUCUUGCCAACAAGGAACCCGGGCAGGUCAGGCAGGGGCCAGGAGGACAGCGGGGCAGCAGGCCUGGGGGGGGGCGGGGCUGCCCGGGCCUCGGCCGCUCCGCAGUGCGGACAAUGACAGAGACACAGAGAGGUGGUGCCCGUGGCCAUCGGAGGCUUUGGGAAGCAUUAGCAAUGGGAACAUAGAAAACUAGACAAACGAGGAACAAGGCAACUGUUAAUUCCAGCAAAUGGUAAAAGUAUGAAUAAAGGAACAUCUGAAUCUAGUGUUUGGAUUAGUAAAUAUUUACAUAGUUGUGAUCAUGCAAGUCCAGAAUAUCCAGUGAAUGAAAAGCAUGACCCUUCACUGCUGGGAGUCUGGGGGCCAGGGACGCGGUGGGGACAGGGACGCCGGCCUCCCCGCCUCUCCGGGAAGCCGAGAGGAAGGAUCUCGGGUGGCGUGGAAGCGGCGUUGUCAUUCCUACUGAACCAGGGGCGCGAGUGCAGAGGAAACAGCUUCCAGGGCAGUGUGGCCCCUGGACAGUGGGCAGCGAUGGGGCUGCGGAGACGGGUCGUUUGCGGACUGUUCAUGGUGGCUCUCAGCCCACAGUACACUGAUGGGCUUUUUGAACAAUGUGUUUGUAUUUCUUUGAGAAAAAUUAAAAAGGAGUGAGCAGCAGGUGUAGCCCCUUCGGCGGGUGAAGACUCGGGUGCUCCGCAGGCCUGAGGGGCGUGCUGGCGUGGCCGGUCGGCCCGCGCUGCGUCCUCCACGGGCAGGCGGUGGCCCCAGGAGAGGCAGGACAGAAUGUGACACGUGGGUCUCCGAGGUGAGCUGCUUGCCCCGCGGCUGCUGGAGGGGCAGCCUGACAGAAGCUCCGUCCGUUUCGGUCACGGCCUGUGAAGCCAGCUGCGUUCAGAAGAAACAUAUGACCAUGGUUUGUAUUUAUUUAAUCCAAAAGGUUUCCUUUCAAAGAGAGAAAUAGGGGGCCCGGGGAAACUCUUCUCAGUGACCGUGCACUCGCAGGCCACAAAGCAGGGGAGACAAUUUCCAUAAUAUUUCACCUCAUUCUGCACACGUCUCCAAGCCGCCUUUGAUGCCACAGUUCAGAACGCAGCCCAGAGCCUCUUGCUCUAAAACAAAUCAGCUGCUCCCUGCACACCCCCCUCCCCAUUACCCCCACCUCCUACUUUUGCAACCGCAGCUCCCACCCACCCCGCUCCCCUGCCCCUCCAACC
Myotis daubentonii (Daubenton's bat) is the source of this 3141-nucleotide long non-coding RNA. RefSeq lists it as uncharacterized. NCBI's taxonomy places the organism in Eukaryota, Metazoa, Chordata, Mammalia, Chiroptera, Vespertilionidae. The record is from RefSeq and is a predicted model, not a curated record.